GCCUACGUGCACCUUAUCACCAAUUAUGCUUUCCUUUCUAUGUAAAAGUUGCUAGACUUAGGGGGAGAUUGUUAGUUAAGUCUAGUAGCUCUAUUAGCUUUUAUUUUUAUUUUACCCCUUUGCUUAGCCACCAAGCUACCUCUUGGUUGGCAGCCUGUAUAUGUACCAAAAUUGGACUAUUGCUCUUGGGUUAAUAAGAAAGUGAUCCAUUUAGGCUAACAAAGAAUACUCACUAUGCUG
Molecule: long non-coding RNA, 240 nt
Filed under: Setaria italica (foxtail millet)
Lineage: Eukaryota; Viridiplantae; Streptophyta; Magnoliopsida; Poales; Poaceae
Description: long non-coding RNA (SITA_LNC003395)
Source: RNAcentral